AUUGAACGCUGGCGGCAGGCCUAACACAUGCAAGUCGAGCGGAUGAAGGGAGCUUUCUCCUGGAUUCAGCGGCGGACGGGUGAGUAAUUCCUAGGAAUCUGCCUGGUAUUUGGGGAUAACGUCCGGAAACGGGCGCUAAUACCGCAUACGUCCUUAGGGAGAAAGUGGGGGAUCUUCGGACCUCACGCUAUCAGAUGAGCCUAGGUCGUAUUAGCUAGUUGGUGGGGUAAAGGCCUACCAAGGCGACGAUCCGUAACUGGUCUGAGAGGAUGAUCAGUCACACUGGAACUGAGACACGGUCCAGACUCCUACGGGAGGCAGCAGUGGGGAAUAUUGGGCAAUGGGCGAAAGCCUGACCCAGCAACGCCGCGUGUGUGAAGAAGGUCUUCGGAUCGUAAAGCACUUUAAUUUGGGAGGAAGAAAAGUAAGUUAAUCUAUUGACGUCUUGACGUUACCAAAACAGUAAGCCACGGCUAACUUCGUG
Molecule: ribosomal RNA, 484 nt
Filed under: uncultured bacterium
Lineage: Bacteria
Description: partial 16S ribosomal RNA
Rfam family: Bacterial small subunit ribosomal RNA
Source: RNAcentral